CCAUCUCAGGAUUAAUCUGUCAGAGAUGACACCAUGCAGCAUAUGUUUCCUGUUCCCAUAUUUCAUGUUCCUGAGCCUCUGGCCGGGGGGGUCGAGCAGAAAAAAGGAUAAAUCCUGCCUCAAAGCAUCGGUCAGCUUUAAUAGGCUUAUAGCGGCAACCUUUCUCAGGAACUCAGACGCGAGUCGAGCUCAGGACACCCAAACAGGCAUCGGCAGCGGCCAUUGUUGGACGUGUUUGAGGUAUUUGAGCAGCAAGGAUGUGAUGCCAGAGCCGGAGUUCAGCUGGGUGAGAUCACCGGCACAAACCGGCUGCUGACAUCACGCUCUGCCAACCCCGUGGGGGAGGAAGGGGGAGGAGGGGAGGAAACAUCCUGACACAGUCCUGCUUCCACAGAUACCAGCGCUGCAUUCAGGGCACGUGGGAACAACCGUUGCUGCAGCUACAACACGUUUUCUUUCUACAGGAUAACAUGCAUCAUACAUGUCCAGAAAAACACGGGAUAUUUCAGUGUUUUAGACCGUUUGUGUGACAAAAAAACAGCAUGUGAAGACACGAUUCUCUGACAGUUAACUGGUAAAAUAAAUAUUUUGGAUGUAAAAACAGUCAGCUGCAGCUCUAGAACAGAAGGAGCAGAGAACUGAGGUUUGGAUCCAAGUCACUGAUUACACAUUUUAUGGUCCUUUCAGGUCUCUGUUUGGUCAACAUGAGUCUGUUUCUCGUUUGGCUUCUUCUUAUGACUUCAGAUGAAUUUUAAAUUGAGACUUGACUCAAGCUCAUGAAACCAAAACAACUGACGUUUCUACUCCAUGAAAGAAAUCAAGUUUAAUCAAUCACUUUGUGUCACUUUCUGGUCACUUCUUUUCCAUUUCUGGUCAUUUUUUUCUGUUUCAAGUCAUUUUGUGGUCUUUUUGUGAUUGUUCCUGGUAAUUAUUUUUGUCUGUUUUUGCUCAAUUUUUUCUGGUCAUUUUUUUUGUCCGUUUCUGGUCAUUUUGUGUCACUUUGUCGUCAUUUAAAGUCAACUUGUGGUCAUUUUGCGUCACUUUGUUGUCAUUUUUGGCUGUUUCUGGUAAUUUUUUCUGUUUCUGGUCAUUUUUGUCCAUUUCUGGUUGUUUUUUUUUCUCUGUUUCUGGUCAUCUUUGUCUAUUUCUGGUCUUUUUUUGUCUGUUUCUGGUCAUUUUUUCCAUUUCUGGUCGUUUUUUUCUCCGUUUCUGGUCAUUUUUGUCCACUUCUGGUCUUUUUUUGUCCACUUCUGGUCAUUUUUUCUCAGCUUCUAGUCAUUUUAUGUCUGUUUCUGGUCAUCUUUGUCUGUUUCUGGUCAUCUUUACACACCACUGCAGCCACCAGCGGUGACUCACAGCGAACUCAGACUGUGAGCAACACGACCAGCCGACCGGCGGCCGGUGAGGAAACACCGGCUCGUCACCACAGCGUGACUUUCUGUCCUGGAAAACAGCUUCGGCAGCAGCUCAGCCGACACCUCGCAGCCGUCUGACAGCAACAAGCAGCGGAACAACAGCUGAACUCCAACGUGGAAGAAACAUUGAGUCAUGUCAGCCAGUUUCUGACUUCUACGUCACUCAGAGAAUGACUUCCCCACAGGACGGGAAUAUUCACGCUCCGUACAGCAUUUGUGAGACUUUAUUCUGGAUGUCUGUAUCAGUGACCUCCACUGGUUCUAAUUAAACAUCUAAACAGCAAACAGACAUGAAAUCUGUCUGUGAACAGAACUUUGAUGAAAAAAUGCAGAAAAUUCCUCCAAAUUUGGUGAAUCCAGCAUAAUACAGAUGAGAGUAAAUACUGAGCUGAUUCAGAGCUUUUAUAACCUCAUUAUCAGAGACUGAGACAAAACAAAGCACUGUGAAACAACAAUCCUUUAAUUCAGACGUGGAAAGUAACCAAGAGCACCGCCUCUGUGGUAAAUCUGUGUCAUUGUCAAGUAUUUUAGGGAAUUUUUGGGUCAUUUUGUAAUUUUUUUCUGGUCAUUUUUGUGUAUUUGAGCUCACUUUGCGUCUUUUUGAGGUGAUUCUGUAAACCAUGUUGGUCAUUUUAAGAAUAUUUCUGGUCAUUUUGAGACUUUUUUGGGUCCUUCUUUACCCAUUUAUCACCAUUAGAUGUAAUUUUGAGGUCAUUUUGUGACUCUUUGUGGUCAUUUUCAGUCUUUUGUAGCCAUUUUGUGAAUCUUUUGGAUCAUUUUAUGAUUUCUUAGGCCAUUUUGUGAUUCAUAGGUCAUCUUGUGUCAUUUUUGGGUAUUUUUAUAAACGUCUGUGGUCAUUUGAGAAUUUUUUUUGUGUAAUUUAAAGACUUUUUGGGUCAUUCUUUGCCUAUUUAUCAUCAUUUUAUGUCAUUUUGAGUAAUUUUGUGAUUCGUUGGUCAUUUUGUGCCAAUUUCAGGUAUUUUUUUGUCACUCUGAGGCAAUUUUGAGAUUCUUUCAGGUCAUUUUGUCUUCUUGAGGUCAUUUUGUGAUUCUGUGGUCAUUUCAUGUCACUUUCAAGUAACUUUGUGACCCGCUGUGGUCUUUUUGUGUCUUUAUGUCAUAAUUUUCUGUUAUUUUUAAGCAUUUUUGCGACUCUUUGUGGUAAUUUUGAGACUCUCUUGGGUCAUUCUUUAUCUCUUUAUCGUCAUCAUAUGUCUUGUUAAAGUCAUUUUGUGAUUCUGCGGUCAUCUGGUGUCACUUUCAGGUAACUUUGUGACUCUUCGUGGUCUUUAUGUCAUAACUUUGUGUCACUUUGAGGCAGUUUUGCGACUCUUUGUGGUAGAUUACUGUUCGUCUGGUGUAGUUUGAAAUAAAUUAAGGAUAAUUUAAAGGA
Molecule: long non-coding RNA, 2808 nt
Organism: Acanthochromis polyacanthus (spiny chromis)
Lineage: Eukaryota; Metazoa; Chordata; Actinopteri; Pomacentridae
Exons: 2
Source: RefSeq, a predicted model, not a curated record